Molecule: ribosomal RNA, 492 nt
Filed under: uncultured bacterium
Lineage: Bacteria
Description: partial 16S ribosomal RNA
Rfam family: Bacterial small subunit ribosomal RNA
Source: RNAcentral
AGUGAACGCUGGCGGUAGGCCUAACACAUGCAAGUCGAACGGCAGCACAGUAAGAGCUUGCUCUUACGGGUGGCGAGUGGCGGACGGGUGAGGAAUACAUCGGCAUCUACUUUUUCGUGGGGGAUAACGUAGGGAAACUUACGCUAAUACCGCAUACGACCUACGUGUGAAAGCAGGGGAUCUUCGGACCUUGCGCGAUUGAAUGAGCCGAUGUCGGAUUAGCUAGUUGGCGGGGUAAAGGCCCACCAAGGCGACGAUCCGUAGCUGGUCUGAGAGGAUGAUCAGCCACACUGGAACUGAGACACGGUCCAGACUCCUACGGGAGGCAGCAGAGGGGAAUAUUGGACAAGGGGCGCAAGCCUGAUCCAGCCAUGCCGCGUGGGUGAAAAAGGCCUUCGGGUUGUAAAUCCCUUUUGUUGGGAAAGAAAAGCAGCAGGUUAAUACCCCGCUGUUCUGACGGUACCCAAAGAAUAAGCACCGGCUAACUUCGUG